CUCUUCUAAUAAUCGGGCUUGUUCCUUUGUUUCUAGAAAUUGAGAAAGAUCUCAGAGAGAGUUGGAAGAGGAGGACGAGGAAGGACUGCGAGAUACCCAGAAAGACGCAUAUCAGAAAGAAUGGCUUCAAGACCCGUGGUUCAACAGCAAAAUAGAGGAGAUUUGCAGUUGAGGGAAUAAAGCAAAAGAACAUGGCGGCAGAGGGAAUGAACCGCCGGAUACUUGGGGAUAUUGGCAAUAUGGUUACCGUUUGAGGGGUUGAAGGCAAGCAGCAGCUUCCUCAGGUGACUCGCCCCCUCACAAGGGGUUUUUGUGCACAUCUACUGGCUAAUGCGCAAGCUGCAGUUGCUGACAAGAACAAGGUUGGUGGCUAUAAUUUCUCUAUUCAAUAGUGUUAAAUGAUGCUUAGGACCCAUUAUUAAUUAUUGUAUGCCAUGCCCCCCACCCC
This is a long non-coding RNA of Ipomoea nil (Japanese morning glory), 448 nucleotides long. RefSeq lists it as uncharacterized. The record is from RefSeq and is a predicted model, not a curated record. Lineage: Eukaryota; Viridiplantae; Streptophyta; Magnoliopsida; Solanales; Convolvulaceae. The transcript has 2 exons.